Molecule: ribosomal RNA, 513 nt
Filed under: uncultured Glomeromycotina
Lineage: Eukaryota; Fungi; Glomeromycota
Description: SSU rRNA
Rfam family: Eukaryotic small subunit ribosomal RNA
Source: RNAcentral
AGCAGCCGCGGUAAUUCCAGCUCCAAUAGCGUAUAUUAAAGUUGUUGCAGUUAAAAGCUCGUAGUUGAAUUUCGGGACCAUCAUGUUGGUCGUGCCUCGGUACGUACUGGCAUUGUUGGUUUCUCCCUUCUGACGAACCAUGAUGUCAUUUAUUUGGUGUCGUGGGAAAUCAGGACUGUUACUUUGAAAAAUUAGAGUGUUUAAAGCAGGCUCACGCUUGAAUACAUUAGCAUGGAAUAAUGAAAUAGGACGUGCGGUUCUAUUUUGUUGGUUUCUAGAGUCGCCGUAAUGAUUAAUAGGGACAGUUGGGGGCAUUGGUAUUGAGUCGCUAGAGGUGAAAUUCUUGGAUUGACUCAAGACCGACUACUGCGAAAGCAUUUGCCAAGGAUGUUUUCAUUAAUCAAGAACGAGGGUUAGGGGAUCGAAGACGAUCAGAUACCGUCGUAGUCUUAACCAUAAACUAUGCCGACUAGGGAUCGGAUGAUGUUAAUUUUUUCAAUGACUCAUUCGGCG